This is a long non-coding RNA of Prionailurus viverrinus (fishing cat), 1231 nucleotides long. RefSeq lists it as uncharacterized. NCBI's taxonomy places the organism in Eukaryota, Metazoa, Chordata, Mammalia, Carnivora, Felidae. The record is from RefSeq and is a predicted model, not a curated record. The transcript is spliced from 4 exons.
GGGGGACGCGUCCCGGGGCCGCCGCCGCCGCCGGGUCUUAGGCGGAGCGGAGAGCAGGAGGACGCGGAGCCGGGCCGCUGGAAGCCGGGGAGCCUCGGCGUCGCCGCCGGCCUGUGCAAACAGACGGACGACGGUGACAGCGCGCAGCCGGCGGGGGAAGGGUGGGAGGGGCCCCCGGGUGCCGGGGGAAUCCCAACGGCUCCAUCUCCCCCCAGUGCAGCUCUGCUGCCCGCAGACCCUUGGACUCAGGAGGCGGCUGGGUGACCCUCUUUCAAAGGCAGGGCAGCCCAGAGGAUUCCUGCCGUCGCCCCUAGGUACCCUGCGACCGUGUGCCAGCCCUGCACACAGAGCCCAGGGAAGCCCGGAGCGGCGUUGUGUGGCCCAGUGUCCUGCAGGCGUAACGUGCACCUGGAUCUUCCCUUGCCUUCACCGUGGAUUCUUGGAGAGUGUCACCUCUGCUAGAUUUCACUGGGACUCGCCACUGUCUGAUGAGAACAUCUGCCCGGUAUUGUAGAGGUUAUAGAGAAUGGAAAUGUUUAUAGCCCGAAAGGAAGAAAUAAGAAACCGUGUGUCCUGUCAGAGAAUGAAGCAAGCAUGGAAUGGGUCUCUGGAUAAAUCAAACACACAGAGUUUGGAUUGAACUGGGAAAGGAUCCUGGGCUAAAAACAAAAGCCUGAAAACACUGACAGAUGAAGCCCAGAACAUUUGGCUGAUCGUUGUAUAUUUGAUGAAGAUUUUGUGUCCUUAGUCUGAAAGACAUUCUAAAAUAUUAUAGAUUUAGUUUCUGCCGAUUCAGUUUCUUCCAAGUAAUCCGCUUAUUUCACAGGUGUGGAGGUGGUUAGAAGUCCUCAUACUGGGUGGUAAAUAAAAUGAUUUCUUCUGUUACAUUUACUGUGGAGACUUGAUGCCUUCUUCUGAAGAAAUAAAGGGCUCAUUCAAUUUUGAGAUAAACUUUUAUUGUUGGGAACUCAAAAAUUCCUUUCACAGGAAAAAUAACAAUGCUAUUUUCAGUUGGGGGGAAAAGGGUUUUAAAUUAAAUUCUAAAAUCCUAUUAUGUGCUUAUUACAUACUAAUGUGAGUUCAUCUUUCUGGUAAAAUGAACACCCAAGCAUGUUUGUAUGCAGUUUAUGCCCGUUCCAAGACUCUAAAAAGCUGGCACAGAUUCGGGCAAGAAAAAUGUGUCUAUUUCCUCUCAAUAUGUCUACUGUUUGAAUUAAAUAUACUGGAGACU